UACAGGGGGGGCAAGCGUUGUUCGGAAUUACUGGGCGUAAAGGGUCUGUAGGUGGCCAACUAAGUCAUACGUGAAAUCCCUCAGCUUAACUGGGGAACUGCGCCUGAUACUGGUUGGCUUGAGUGCAGGAGAGGAACGCGGAAUUCCAGGUGUAGCGGUGAAAUGCGUAGAUAUCUGGAGGAACACCGGUGGCGAAGGCGGCGUUCUGGACUGCAACUGACACUGAGAGACGAAAGCCAAGGGAGCAAACGGG
Molecule: ribosomal RNA, 253 nt
Filed under: uncultured bacterium
Lineage: Bacteria
Description: partial 16S ribosomal RNA
Rfam family: Bacterial small subunit ribosomal RNA
Source: RNAcentral